Long non-coding RNA from Gasterosteus aculeatus aculeatus (three-spined stickleback), 740 nucleotides. The record is from Ensembl. NCBI's taxonomy places the organism in Eukaryota, Metazoa, Chordata, Actinopteri, Perciformes, Gasterosteidae.
UGCUGCUUUCACGUACUGCAGGAAAUACUAAUGAUAUGCCGUCUGCAUGAGUCUUCCUGUGCUUGGGACCAAGACGAGCCGGAUGAGAUCCAGCAGCUGCUGCAUUCAAGGGAGAAGGCUGCUUGGAAGGAGGAACUGGAAAAGGUGUCCCAGGCCCUGAAGGAGGCGGAGGAGAAGUUGGAGGAUCUCCAAGAGGAGGUGUCGUCUCUCUGGAGUCAGCUGUAUCAGGAGAGAGAGCAAGCCACCCUGCUGGCUGGAGCUGAAGCAGCCUGGAACAGAGAAAAAGAGAUCUGUGCCGUUCAGGGCCGCAGCGAGCAGGUUUUCCGAGGCAAGUUGAGAGAGGAGCUCAAAAAGCUGGAGCAGCCCAGAGAGGAUGAGAAGGAGCAGCUCAGGCAAAUGGAAGCCAAGCGGCCACAGAUGCUGGGGGCCCGAGAGGAGCUGUCAGCAUGCGGAGAACUGAGAAGGCUCGAAGAAGGUUAACAGUCCUUUGUGCCUAAUGCAGUGAAUAAAGUUUGAUGUAGAAGCUUUACGCUCAUAGAUGUUUUCUGUGCGCAUGUUGCAUUAACGUUGUUAAAAGAAACGUCUAACGUAUCGUAAGCAGCACAUUUACUAGACCGACAAGCGUUAAAUGAGAAGAUUUGAGGAUGAAACAAAGCCAGGGGCUGCUUAGCUUAGCACAGUAAACUGGAGGAAAGACUUGUUCAACCCAAAGAUAAGCUUUGCCUUUCUAAGGUUAAUUA